This 253-nucleotide ribosomal RNA is filed under the name uncultured bacterium. Its description in RNAcentral is "partial 16S ribosomal RNA". It matches the Rfam family "Bacterial small subunit ribosomal RNA", at positions 524 to 776 of the family's 1533-position model. The record is from RNAcentral.
UACGGAGGAUGCGAGCGUUAUCCGGAUUUAUUAGGUUUAAAGGGUGUGUAGGCGGAGAUCUAAGUCAGCGGUGAAAUCCUAUAGCUUAACUAUAGAACUGCCAUUGAUACUGGUUCUCUUGAAUGUACUUGAAGUGGGCGGAAUGUGUAAUGUAGCGGUGAAAUGCUUAGAUAUUACACAGAACACCAAUUGCGUAGGCAGCUCACUAAGUUACUAUUGACGCUGAGGCACGAAAGCGUGGGGAGCAAACAGG